RNAcentral lists this ribosomal RNA (1463 nucleotides) under uncultured Bordetella sp. Its description in RNAcentral is "partial 16S-23S ribosomal RNA intergenic spacer". It matches the Rfam family "Bacterial small subunit ribosomal RNA". The record is from RNAcentral. Lineage: Bacteria; Pseudomonadati; Pseudomonadota; Betaproteobacteria; Burkholderiales; Alcaligenaceae.
GGUUCGAUCCUAGCUCAGAUUGAACGCUGGCGGGAUACUACACAUGCAAGUCGGGCAGCAGCACGGACUUCGAUCUGGUGGCGAGUGGCGAACGGGUGAAGUAAUGUAUCCGGAACGUGCCUAGUGGCGGGGGAUAACUACGCGAAAGCGUAGCUGGCCACCGCAUACGCCCUUCGGGGAAAGCGGGGACCUUCGGGCUCUAACACUAUUAAAACAGCCGAUAUCGGAUUGGCUAGUUGGUGGGGUAACGGCUCACCGGGCGACGGUAGCUGCUUUGAGGACGACCAGCCACACUGGGACUGAGACACGGCCCGAACUCCUACGGGAGGCAGCAGUGGGGAAUUUUGGACAAUGGAAACCUGAUCCAGCCAUCCCGCGUGUGCGAUGAAGGCCUUCGGGUUGUAAAGCACUUUUGGCAGGAAAGAAACGGCACGGGAUAAUGCCCCGUGCAACUGACGACUGCACAGAAUAAGCACCGGCUAACUACGUGCCAGCAGCCGCGGUAAUACGUAGGGUGCCGACGUUAAUCGGAAUUACUGGGCGUAAAGCGUGCGCAGGCGGUUCGGAAAGAAGAUGGCAAAUCCCAGAGCUUAACUUUGGAACUGCAUUUUAACUACCAGCGGCCAGUGUGUCAGAGGAGAGGUGGAAUUCCACGUGUAGCAGUGAAAUGCGUAGAUAUGCGGAGGAACACCGAUGUGAAGGCAGCCUCCUGGGAUAACACUGACGCUCAUGCACGAAAGCGUGGGGAGCAAACAGGAUUAGAUACCCUGGUGAUCCACGCCCUAAACGAUGUCAACUAGCUGUUGGGGCCUUCGGGCCUUGGUAAUGCAAUAACGCGUGAAGUUGACCGCCUGGGGAGUACGGUCUUAAGUUAAACUCAAAGGAAUUGACGGGGACCACACAAGCGGUGGAUGAUGUGGAUUAAUUCGAUGCAACGCGAAAAACCUUACCUACCCUUGACAUGUCUGGAAUCCCGAAGAGGUGGGAGUGCUCGCAAGAGAACCGGAACACAGGUGCUGCAUGGCUGUCGUCAGCUCGUGUCGUGAGAUGUUGGGUUAAGUCCCGCAACGAGCGCAACCCUUGUCAUUAGUUGCUACGAAGGGCACUCUAAUGAGACUGCCGGUGACAAACCGGAGGAAGGUGGGGAUGACGUCAAGUCCUCAUGGCCCUUAUGGGUAGGGCUUCACACGUCAUACAAUGGUCGGGACAGAGGGUCGCCAACCCGCGAGGGGGGGCCGUCCAAGAAACCCGAUCGUAGUCCGGAUCGCAGUCUGCAACUCGACUGCGUAAGUCCGGAAUCGCUAGUAAUCGCGGAUCAGCAUGUCGCGAGCAAAUACGUUCGGUCUUGUACACACCGCCCGUCACACCAUGGGAGUGGGUUUUACCAGAAGUAGUUAGCCUAACCGUAAGGAGGGCGAUUACCACAGUAGGAUUCAUGACUGGGGUGGGGGUAUCUAAGGUAG